Molecule: long non-coding RNA, 3116 nt
Organism: Bombus pyrosoma
Lineage: Eukaryota; Metazoa; Arthropoda; Insecta; Hymenoptera; Apidae
Exons: 4
Source: RefSeq, a predicted model, not a curated record
AAAAAUUCUAAACUACUAAAACUCUUCGAUUCGAAAAUUUCAGAAGCUCAGAAAUAUCAAAAAUCGAAGAUUCGAAAGAUUUGAAAACUUGAGAAUUCCAAAACUUUUAUGUUCGAAAAUUCUAAAAUUCAUCUAAUAUGUCACAGAUACUAAAAGUAGAUUACAGAGUUAACAGGUUGAAUUUAAGCAAGCACGCAAAUGCCUCUAACAGCUGACGAUUGCUCUCUUUCCGGUGGUUCAACGAUAUUAGAGAAAUUCGCACGUUGUCCCCACACGUGGUAACGCACAGCUAAAUAUACGCGACUAAUGACUGUUACGAAAUGUCAAGCAGAAGCUGCCGAGUAGUGGGUCAGUCGUAAAGUCAGAUUCUGUUUCGCGUGUGUUCCCUAACAAGCGAUUAGUUUCGAGGAGAAAGGUGUCGAUUUUCAAUGAGUAUCGAUUUCCAAUGAGUAUCGAUGAUCGAGUCUGUACGCAACAAAAUGGUUGUACUCACUACAUUUUAACUUUAUUUAAGCAAAUACUUACGUUACAAAAUAAAUUAGACAUAAAAUAAAUUGCCCGCCAAUAACAAUUCUUUGCAAUGUGAAGACUUAGAAAGUUCUAUUGCGAGAUAUGUGAAGCGGAAAAACUUAGAAUUGACCCUCUCAACUGGAGGCGAGACAAAAACAGCGUACGGAUCUUUAAGAUGAAAUAUACAGUGGUUUAUUUCUAGCCACAUUUUAUGAACACAUUAUGUGCGUUAUACAAAAUAUUUUUAAAUUGCAUUACGACUGUUAUGAGAAUUGGCUAUCAUGAUUAUGUUAAUCAAAUGUGAAACAAAUCUGAAAAUAUAUAUAGAAAUUACAAGAUAUUUAGCAUCUACAAGUAUAUAAUUCACAGAGAUGACAAAAGUAUUUAAACAGUCAAUUAUCCGUUACAUUAAUAAAACUCGAUAUUCAGUUGAUAUAUCUCUAACAAAUAUUGUAUAUGUUUAAGAUGGCCAUUUAUGCUGUAUACUAAUUUCUUACUAAAUAUAAGUUUACAGUAAAUAUCUUGCAACUUGUAUAUACAUUUCAGAUUUUAAAUUGCACCGAUAUAAUCGUAUGUUAUAAUACCAACGGAAUAUCAAAAUGUUUUACGUAACACAUACAAUACGGACAUAAAAGUUUUCUAUGGGGGUUAUUGAGGAAAUCGAUGAUGGAGAUCUAUUCUUUGCCGGAGGAACAAGCUAGUAGAAGGAAAUAUCGACGAAAGUUCGCUGGCGGCUGGUGUAUACUGCGCAAAUGCUCUCCCGCCUCUCGGAAUAUUACUUGGUUGCCCAAGGUUGCCGUUCGUUCUGCUCACGACUCGAGCAUUAUGCACGUGUAUAGAUAUAUCAGCUACGCACUUACAGCAAUAUACCUCUACACCAACGUAUUUACGACACACGCUUAGAAGAUCUAUCUCUUUAUCGUGCACAUACACCAGGAGAGUACAUAUCAGCGUUUCCCAACCAUUUUUCUAUUCUGUUAAAACGUUUACUUACCACGUGCAAUACGUGUUUUCUUCAUCGUUAACUAUAGUAUAAUGAGACAUUCGAUGAAGCUAGUGAAUAAUUCAAGGUUAAUUGAAUUACUCAGCCAAUAAAAAAAUGAUAAAGAAUAUUAAUUAUUUGAGAAUACAUACAUAUUACUAGAAUAUUAUAAUAUAUCAUAGAUGACUCUAACAGGUUGAACCGAGACAAAGUCGAGCUGAAAAACGAGAUUGGGAAACUCUGUAAGCGCAAUGCACCUAUUCUUUGUUCAUUUCUCGGCUUUUAAGAGCGUGCCUUGCAUCGGUGCACGGCAAUUAUUGACGUGUGUGUGAAAACCAAGAGAUACAUCGAGCACCGUAUGUUCUAUGUAUGUAUAUACGAGAGUAUAUGCGCGUCUGAUUGGUACCAGGACUACCAGGGCCUCUCCCUUCCGAACAAACGACGAUGGUUCAAGUUGGUCGCUUGCACGACACGGAUCAACGAUUUAACGUGAACAGAAAACAGAACAGUCUCUCUCGAUCUCUGCGGUCGGAUCGUUCCAAAUCGAUCGAUCGCUUCCCCGAUACGCGGAAUCUCACUUUCUCUGAAACUCUGUUUUCUUUUCCCUUUGUCUUGCUGCUCACCGUGAAGCAUGUUUUGAGAAUUAAACGAGAUAUAAAAACAAUAUCACGCAUAUCUUAAUUCGAAAAUGGAAGAAUAAUUACUUAUCCACUUGGAGAAAUCAUUUUCCAUGCAGAAGAAAAAUACGGGUAGUUCCUGUUUCUUUUAGAAUGUUCGUCGGUAAGAAACGGUAAUACAAAAAAUCAUUCGUAAUUUUUAUGUUAACGAAUGAGUAAAUUAAUUACUUCCCGUUUCAUAGCGUUUUAAAUAUGAAGACAUUCUCAUUCAUAUGUGUAUGUAAUAUGUUAUACUGAUAUGACUGAGAUGUCGUUUGAUGAUAUUGAUAUCUUAUAUAUUAUUUUCGUUCAUAUACAUAUAUAUAUAACAUAUAAAUGUAUAUAUCAUUAUACACAUAUGAACAACACGUUAUACAUAACAAAUCAUUGUCUUUCUAUAGUUGAGAAUCGAUUGAAAGUUUGUCCAUUUAUAAUCUGAUUAAAUAAUGCACGACCGCGCACGUUGUUUUCUAAUCAUUUAUUUACGUGAAUAUUUUCGACGUGGAAACGCAUCUACUAUAAUCGUAAACUUUAUAGAAGCAUUAUUUGUGGAGUUGAAUCGCUUUCGUUUACAUAAUCUACGUCUUCCGUAAGCACAGCGUGUAAAAUGACCGAUAGAAUUCUUGUAAAUGGAAAUUUUUAUUGAAUAAUCUUCACAGAGAGACUGAUUCUUUACAAAGAACACGAUAAUAAUAACGUGUUAUCGCUAAUGUUUCAUUUCAUUGAUUUCACAACCCAGAACAAUUACGAAGCAUCGAACAUUUGUAUUUUAUCAUGAAUGAUCAUGAAAAAUUAAGUAUUAAGAUAUGUUAAUUCAAAUAAAAGAGAUACUCAUUUUUUUGGAUAAUUAAUUUGGAAUAAUUGGAGAGUAUAGCAGUAAAUAAGUUAAUCAAAGAGAAUUAAGAAUCGAGAAAUUAAUGACAUAAAAUCUGUAUUCGAAACGCUGCUGUUUAAUGCUGCAUAAAUUC